RNAcentral lists this ribosomal RNA (544 nucleotides) under uncultured bacterium. RNAcentral describes it as "bacterial SSU rRNA". It matches the Rfam family "Bacterial small subunit ribosomal RNA", at positions 242 to 803 of the family's 1533-position model. The record is from RNAcentral.
UAGCUGGAUGGUGGGGUAAAGGCCUACCAUGGCUGAGAUCAGUAGCCGGCCUGAGAGGGCACACGGCCACACUGGCACUGAAACACGGGCCAGACUCCUACGGGAGGCAGCAGUGGGGAAUCUUGCACAAUGGGGGAAACCCUGAUGCAGCGACGCCGCGUGAGCGAUGAAGCCCUUCGGGGUGUAAAGCUCUUUCGGCAGGGACGAUAAUGACGGUACCUGAAGAAGAAGCUGCGGCUAACUACGUGCCAGCAGCCGCGGUAAUACGUAGGCAGCGAGCGUUGUUCGGAGUUACUGGGCGUAAAGCGUGCGUAGGCGGUGGUCCAAGUCUGGUGUGAAAUCUCCCGGCUCAACUGGGAGGGUGCGCCGGAAACUGGGCCGCUGGAGUGCGGGAGAGGCAAGCGGAAUUCCAGGUGUAGCGGUGAAAUGCGUAGAUAUCUGGAGGAACACCCGUGGUGCAGACGGCUUGCUGGACCGUGACUGACGCUGAGGCACGAAAGCGUGGGUAGCAAACAGGAUUAGAUACCCUGGUAGUCCACGCCCU